GACUGUCUCUGAGCCCUUGCUCCGCAUCCCUGACCUCACUGCAUGUUUCCUUCACAGAUGCUGCUUCUCUUAGCUACAGCUUCACUGUUGGCAGCUCAGGGUCUGGACCACGGUGGCAAGUCCAAGGCCAACUGAACACAGAACCUUUAAUUUACUGUGACAAUAACAACAGCUGUCAGGCCAUUGGUCGUCAGAGGAGCAGAAUGAGUGCCACAAAGAUCUGGCAGCUACAGGUUAAGACUCUGAGAGACGCAGGUGACCAGUUCAAAGCAGUCGUGGCUCACUUGAAGGCAGAUACUAGCACAAAGAGAGGUAAGUUUCAAAGGGCCCCCUUGGGCUGGGGAUGUAGCACAGUGGUAGAGUGCUUGCCUAGCAUAUGUGGAGCCCUAGGUUCAAUCCCCUCUGCUACAAAUUAAAUAAAGAACAUAGCAAAUGGCCCCCUGAAGGAAAGAACAGGAUUUGUGACAGGUUGGGGUCAUUCAUUGUUUUCAUGGAAGAAGAAAAUAAAUGCCUGGUCAUCCCACCUAAGAGGACCAGCAGCAAGGAGGGCAGAGCAAGGUCAGAGGAUGGGAAGGGAGGUAGACAGACAGGAUUCAUCAAGUCCAGAGGCUGAUCUCUUUCCACCGGGCACAGAGCCCCUUAUUCUGCAGGCCACGAUGCAUUGUGGGCAUGAAGUAAAUGGAGAUUUCCGAGCAUCCUGGGACUUUGGCCUCAAUGGACGGAAAAUGUUGCAUUUUGACUCAAGCACUAGAAAGUUGACUGAAGUUGAUUCUGAAUCCAGCCAGUUGAAAACUAUGUUGGAGGAAGUAACUGACUUCUUAUACAGGACCUCACAGGGGGACUGUAGGUCCUGGCUUGAGGAGUUCAAGUCACACUGGGAAGAAAAGCUGGAGCCUACAGCCUCGUCAAAUGCUGCUCCGGAUGUGAACCAGCCUCCGACCUUGGCAAGCAAGUCCAACAUCUAUGUCCUGCUGAUGAUCCUCAUUUGCUCCCUCCUGUUUCUCUUACAAUAUUUGUGAUGACAGGUUGAAGAUGCUUCAGAGAAGGUCGUGAGAGUUCAUCUGGUGCAGCCACUCUCCCUCUCAUCGGCCUCAACCAGAUGAAUUAUGGUGUUGCCGACACAGUAUUUCAUGAUCUUUCACUCUGUGCUGCUCACUUGGGCCUUUCUUAUCACCUUGUACUGUUUCCUUGGUGCUCCUUGGAUGGAUUUUGCUCUUAACAUGGAACUCAACAUCUGGAAAGAACAUGGUUAUGUACCCAUUCCUAGCAUAGGAAACAGGAUAACCAGAUCCCUUAGUGGGAGUGUCAAGUUUUUACACUUGCUUAUAUAACUGGCAAUAAUCAAAUAUCUCAGGUGUCUCCAAUGGAAACCUGUAACAGCUAAUCAUAGAAAAUGGAAAUUGAGGACCAGUUGUUUAGUAGAAGUCACUGGUAACUAUAACACAGCCCCAAACCUUAGCACGGCUGACUCCAUCAUGGAACUGCCAUUCAGGCUGUAAAACUUAGCACAUAGACAGCACCACCUGCCAAAACUAAAACAAAGGGCUGAUCCAUCCCAGUCCAUAGUUAAGGAAAGUCUCUGAUGUACUGACCUUGCCUUUUGACUUCUGCAUUUCUACUUCUGGCUAACUGUUCUUGUUAACUGAAGUGUGUCGACCCAAAGCAUGGGUUUUUGUGCUUGAAAGCUCUACCUUAGGGUUGGUGCUACACUGGGAUCCGAAAUACCCAUUGUAGUUGCUAACCAGCUAAUAAAAAUUUUCUAUUGACUUAAAUCUGUGUCUGAAAAUUCUUCUCUGAUGAGUUCUCCACAACAUUUCUAGAAGUCCCAAGGAUAUCCCAGAGCAGGACCUGAAGACACCA
Molecule: RNA transcript, 1860 nt
Organism: Peromyscus leucopus (white-footed mouse)
Lineage: Eukaryota; Metazoa; Chordata; Mammalia; Rodentia; Cricetidae
Gene name: UL16-binding protein 1-like
Exons: 3
Source: RefSeq, a predicted model, not a curated record